Long non-coding RNA from Nicotiana attenuata, 1187 nucleotides. RefSeq lists it as uncharacterized. The transcript has 5 exons. Lineage: Eukaryota; Viridiplantae; Streptophyta; Magnoliopsida; Solanales; Solanaceae. The record is from RefSeq and is a predicted model, not a curated record.
AUCGCCAAAUUUGAUGUGAGAUUUAUUUUGCCAAUUCAACCAAUCGAAUAACCUCUUGAACCAAGAACUCAAGAAGCAAAAUGGGAAAAGAAAAAAAAAUUGUACAUCGCAUGAAUUUUAAUCCCUUUUGAAAAGGCUAUAUAUUUGCAUUCAGUUUGCGUUCCCUCUAAAAGUUUCUAAAAGUCGUUCGUCACUUGUACGCUUCUCUAGGAAUUAGGUCAACAAUGAGAUCGACCUAUACUCUCUUUUUCUUUGAUCUUGCACCUAUCGGUGUAGGAUAUAUACUUGGAUUCAUGUUGAUAACCUGCUUAAAUUUGGAGUCUGAAUGAUCGAUCAAUAGGAUUUGCUUCAUCAUCGACAGGAAAGAGCGGCAGAGCACCAGUUAAACUUGUGAAGGUCAUGCUACAUUGACAUUUGUGCCUUCACCCUGGUUUCAGAAAGUAGAGAGAUUAAUAAAUAACGUCCAACCUUAUGGUUGCAGUUUUGCUACUUCCACGCAAGCCCCCACCCACCUGCAAGCCGACCUCGUCCACAUGGAAAGGCACAAUGUUGGUCGGCUUUCUGAGUUUUAUCUCUGCUACAACAAAUAUUGUAGUACAUAUUUUGCUUGAGGGUAACUUGAUGAACCAUUUUCCCCCUACCCUUGAGGUUACUAAGGUGAUGAAUCAAGCUGACUGAAGCUGUGCCUUUGAAGUUCAGUCUUUCCAAGGUCAGAAUCAUCCAGAUCUAUCGUUGAGGUGCAUUCCUGUUGGAACAUUCCAGACUAAGAGUGAGGGGGCUCGAAAGCAACGUAGUUCUUUGCUCUAAAUGUCUAUAAGAGCUCCAGUUUGUUACUUCCUCAUAGCAAUUGUUUCCAUUAAAUCUACAGAGAUCCCAGCCCCCAGGACUGUACCCGACCAGACCAUUAUAGCUUCAGGAUCACUAUACAAAUGAUGGCUAUUUUGGCACUCAAGCAGCUGGGACACUUGGAUCUUCUGAGGCCAGUGAUGUGGACUUUCUUCUGAGGCCAGUGAUGUGGACUUCCACGUGAAUCUAAAUACACGUGCUCCAAUUAAUGCCAUGCACACAGAAAAGUUCCAUUCAUCAUCAUUUCUUGACUGGGAUCUGUUUGGCUUCUUGUUUCCUUCCAGAACCUAGAUGGAAGUCCAUGCUCAGGUAUGGGGAAUGGGCUAUAUUGUACCGCUUCU